CCACGAGAGUGUUUACCAUAUUUGCUAAGCAUUUGUUUGAGAUUAAUAUACAAUAGGAAGCGGAAGUGAAAGCGGGCAACGGAAGCAAAAAUUUUCCAACAGGAACUGAAAAAUACAAAUAUAGAACACAGUUCAUAGUUCACAGCUAAAAAGAGUGUUAAGAGCAAAAGAAAAAAAAAAAAAAAAAUUUAAACUUUUACAGAGGAAAAAGGCGAAUGCAAUAAAAUGUUAAAAUACGUAUUUACCGCCGUGUUUAAGGAUGUCCGUAUUAAUGCCGGACGCGGUGCUAUCAUCUCAGAUCCCGGAAAGGUUGCGGGCUGAGCAG
Drosophila navojoa is the source of this 325-nucleotide long non-coding RNA. The record is from RefSeq and is a predicted model, not a curated record. Lineage: Eukaryota; Metazoa; Arthropoda; Insecta; Diptera; Drosophilidae.